AGGGGGUACUAAAUCUUCAAC
Molecule: non-coding RNA, 21 nt
Filed under: Rattus norvegicus (Norway rat)
Lineage: Eukaryota; Metazoa; Chordata; Mammalia; Rodentia; Muridae
Source: RNAcentral